UGAAUACGAGAUGCUACGGCGUCGAAGCAGUCUAUGUCAUACUUCCAAAAAGCUCGCACUGUCAUAAACAAAUAAUGCCUGUACCAUAACCGACACAGGUGGGUAGGUAGAGUAUACUAAGGGGCGCGAGAUAACUCUCUCUAAGGAACUCGGCAAAAUGACUCCGUAACUUCGGGAGAAGGAGUGCCUUAUUUAUAAGGUUGCAAUAACAAGAUCCAAGCAACUGUUUAUCAAAAACACAGGUCUCCGCUAAGUCGUAAGACGAUGUAUGGGGGCUGACGCCUGCCCAGUGCCAGAAGGUUAAAGAGUUGGUUAGCAUUCGCGAAGCUGAUAACUGAAGCCCUGGUGAACGGCGGCCGUAACAAUAACGGUCCUAAGGUAGCGAAAUUCCUUGUCGGGUAAGUUCCGACCCGCACGAAAGGCGUAAUGAUUUGGAUACUGUCUCGGAGAGGGGCUCGGUGAAAUAGACUUGUCUGUGAAGAUGCGGACUACCUGCACCAGGACAGAAAGACCCUAUGAAGCUUUACUGUAACUUGAGAUUGAAAUUGGACUUUACUUGCGCAGUAUAGGUGGGAGGCGUUGAUAAUAUUCUUGCGGGAUUAUUUGAGCCAUCAGUGAGAUACCACUCUUGUAAUGUUAGAUUUCUAACUUUGUAUCAUUAUCUGGUCAAAGGACAGUUUCAGGCGGGCAGUUUGACUGGGGCGGUCGCCUCCUAAACGGUAACGGAGGCGCACAAAGGUUUCCUCUGAACGGGUAGAAAUCGUAUCUAGAGUGUAAAGGCAUAAGGAAGCUUGACUGUGAGACCUACAAGUCGAGCAGGGACGAAAGUCGGUCUUAGUGAUCUGACGGUGCUGAGUGGAAAGGCCGUCACUCAACGGAUAAAAGUUACUCUAAGGAUAACAGGCUGAUCUCCCCCAAGAGUUCACAUCGACGGGGAGGUUUGGCACCUCGAUGUCGGCUCAUCGCAUCCUGGGGCGGUAGUACGUCCCAAGGGUUGGGCUGUUCGCCCAUGAAAGCGGUACGCGAGCUGGGUUCAGAACGUCGUGAGACAGUUCGGUCCAUAUCCGGUGUAGGCGUUAGAAUAUUGAGAGGAGCCUUCUUUAGUACGAGAGGACCGAGAAGGACAUACCUCUGGUGUACCAGUUAUCGUGCCAACGGUAAACGCUGGGUAGCUAUGUAUGGAGUGGAUAACCGCUGAAAGCAUCUAAGUGGGAAGCCCACCUCAAGAUAAGUAUUCUCAUC
Molecule: ribosomal RNA, 1242 nt
Filed under: metagenome
Description: bacterial LSU rRNA
Rfam family: Bacterial large subunit ribosomal RNA
Source: RNAcentral